AACUUUUGACAACGGAUCUCUUGGUUCUGGCAUCGAUGAAGAACGCAGCGAAAUGCGAUAAGUAAUGUGAAUUGCAGAAUUCAGUGAAUCAUCGAAUCUUUGAACGCACAUUGCGCCCGCCAGCAUUCUGGCGGGCAUGCCUGUUCGAGCGUCAUUU
RNAcentral lists this ribosomal RNA (157 nucleotides) under Colletotrichum sp. VegaE4-42. Its description in RNAcentral is "5.8S ribosomal RNA". It matches the Rfam family "5.8S ribosomal RNA". Rfam says of the family: 5.8S ribosomal RNA (5.8S rRNA) is a component of the large subunit of the eukaryotic ribosome. It is transcribed by RNA polymerase I as part of the 45S precursor that also contains 18S and 28S rRNA. Functionally, it is thought that 5.8S rRNA may be involved in ribosome translocation. The record is from RNAcentral. Lineage: Eukaryota; Fungi; Ascomycota; Sordariomycetes; Glomerellales; Glomerellaceae.